Molecule: long non-coding RNA, 3961 nt
Organism: Sapajus apella (tufted capuchin)
Lineage: Eukaryota; Metazoa; Chordata; Mammalia; Primates; Cebidae
Exons: 2
Source: RefSeq, a predicted model, not a curated record
UCCAAAUAAUGAAGAGUCAUAGUCUGCGAGCUAGGACAUGCCUGUGAGCAUGUCCAGCACAAAUAUCUUGGUUAAAGUACAAGGACAUAGAAUGUACUUCUUUCCUUAUGUCUUGCAGCUACAUAGGAUAGAGCUUAACAAAGAAUUAUUGGCAAAAAGCAAGAAGGCUUUGAAGAAAGUUAGCCUUUGAAAGAAACUAUUAUUUCUAACAUUUAUUGUUAUUCUUUAACAAGAAGGGAAACUUUGAAGAGGGACUUUUUACUUUCCACACCAAUUCUAUCUGUCUCAAUGUGCAAAUGCUUUUUACCAGGCCUCACUGCCUCCCAGUUCUGUGGGGGACCCAGGCCUGCUGUUACGGAUGAAACAAGAGGCAUAUGGCUUGGCCUGUGCCUCAAGCAUUGCCAGUCUUACCAGCUUUAUAAACCAUGCGUCAAGUGGUGUCUUCACAAGGGCAGCCCUGAGGCGCUGGGGUCGAGCGGGCUUGCAGCAAAAGACAGCACCUUCCCCAUGCAGCUCCUGGACACCCUUCCAACUUGGUAGGGCUUUUCGUUAGAGGUUCCCAGAGGGAGUUGCCAAGGGCUGGGCUGGCUGCACAAGACUCCCCCAAAGAGCUUAAACAGGGGACUUCCCACCCCAUCACCUUCCAGGCAAUCUUACCUAGGUCAGGAGCGGAGCCAAAAUCGCAUAUUGUGUCAGCACUUGCACAGCUGUGGUGAGCUGCCUGGAAAUUUCUGCUUUUCAUCCUCUUGGGUCUCCAUGUGGACCUGCCAUGAUGAUGAUGCCAUUUGAAAGCAUUGAAUCUGAAGCUCAGAGAAGGAAGAGACUUGGCGAGGCACCUCUGCCUGCCAGAGCCACAGAGCUGAGUUCCGGGCACUGCCCCAUCUGUAGGGCUGCGUGGGAUUCUCAAUGGAAGAUCUGGAGAGCCUGGGCCUGCUCACCUGAUUACCGAGGAAAACAAACAUUUAGCUGCUGCCUGUUUACUUCCCAUACCUAUUUGGGUUUGAUAGUCUCAGAUGCAGAGUCUUUGGGCCUGUUUUGUUUAUUUAUCUGUCUUUUGAUCUGCAGCCCAGCUCUGGGUUACAAGGAAACCAGGUAGGCCCAAUUAGCUUUCAGGGAUGUUUGCAGAGGAGGCAGCAUCUCCUGCCUCUCAGAGAUGUGAACAAAUAAUGGUUUAAUAAUUGACACGUCUGUGCCUUAGGAGACCAUGCCAGCUUCGAAUGAAGAUGAUUGAUCAGAAGGGAAGGAACCAGAAAGCCCAUGCCAAGCUCGGGACCCCAUCGGCCCUCGCUCCCAGCCAGGAAGGGGGUAGCCAGGCUGGGGUGAUUUUAGGGGGCAUGAACAGGCCAGUGUGCUUCCCGGGCAGGUCCUAGGGAGACCAGCACUGGCCUCUGUGCUCGCUUGACACCCUCUUUGCUGAGCUCUUUUGAGAACCUGCCACUGCCAAGUCCUCGGACACUGCUGAGGAUAGCUAUGAGCAAGGCUUCUGUGAGAUUUGACCACAAGAAAGAAAGCAGAGAGGAGAGGAUGAGAGCCACAUUUACUAGGAUGUUACCCAUGCAGGUGUGAUGCUGAGCGUAGUUACACCCCUGCUAUUCUUACCAGCUCAGAGAUGUUAAGCUUCUUCCCUGGAGCCACACAGCUAGAAGUGGAGGAGCCAGGAUUUGAAUCUAGGUGGUUGAUGGGCUGCCCUUACUGAGGACAUCCUGUGUGCUGGGCCCUGUGCUGAGUGCCCUAGGUGUCACCUCCCUGACCCCAGGGCACAGGUAUGGACACCAAGGGCUUGGCCAGUGCCAGGCUUCCAGGGCUGGCGAGUGGCAGAGUGAGGCCUGCCCCAGCAUGGGCUCUUGCCUCUUUCCUGUACUAAAAGUGUCACUCAUGGUAGCGUCUGUGAGCUGAGGCUCCCAGGAACUAGCCAGCCCUGUCGAUUCUGACGCAAAGAGAAUGAGCUGACUUCAAUUCUGAUGUUCCAGAGUCACAUAGAGGGUGGAAAACAUUCCCGAGGAGGAACUCGACCUGCAGAGGUUUCUGAACCCAGAAAGUCUCGCAAACCCCUCCCAGGGUCCGAUAAUCAGAGAGUGAUGAGUUUUCUCCUGUAGAACGUUGAAGACAAAACAUGGUCAGAUGUGUUCAUUGUCCUGGCUUUAUUGUUUUGUUUGGAUGACCCUUUGAGUGAGACCAUUUGCCUUGAGAAUUAAAACAAAAUUAAACAAUAAAUAAUAUUUUUGUAUAAUGUAGUAUUAUAUACAUAUGGUAUAUGCAUGUAUGUGAUAACCACACAUAGGUAGUAAAUAUAAAAUAUUAAAUGCUUGUUUAUUUGUUUGUAAUUAGAAAGCCCAAAACUGAAAUAAGAUCCCUUUGCAUCCUCUGUAUAGAUGCCCCACCUUGGCCCUCAGGCCCUUGUUCAUCAAGGGGUCCCUGCCGCAGCUCUACCCUGGGUGCGCAGAGUGAGCAUGGGAUGCUCUCAUUGUUCCACUGCCCCCCGGCUGCCCCGACCCCGCCCCUUCCCAUCACUGGCCUAGGAAUUGGAGGCAUUGCCUCCUGAUGCAAAGGCCUCCUGUUUUUUGGAGCUUAGGCCUGCAUCCCACCCUGCAGGAGGUGGUGGCUGAAGCCCUGGGUUGCUCCCUGCGUAGCCCUUGCAUUGAUUACUUCCUUCUUUUGUUCAUUCCUUCAGCAAGCAUUUCCUGAAUACCUGCCUUGUGCUAGGUGCAGGUGAUCCAGGAUGAACAGAGUUCUGUCCCUUUCUUCCCAGUCCCUUCCACCUGUGCGGCAGAUUCUCUUUGGUGAAUAAGAUAGGGGAGUCACAGGUUCUAUGGGCACAGGGAUAGAGUUUCUGGCUGUUUCCUAAAAAGGAGAAGAGAUUUGGAAAACACUUCUGAUCGCUUGGCCUCCCCUCCUCCUUUUCUCAUGAGGGCCCAGACUGCAAACGGGAAACUGGUUGUCGUGUCUCCAGAAGGGCAGGCGUCCUGCACAUUGCGCCUGCCACAGGCCUGUGCUACAGGAGCCGAGCUUGGGAAAGCUGGCCAGAACCGUCUGGAGCAGGGAAAGCCUGGUUGACAGAGGCCUUUCCAGAAUUCAGCAUGGAGCGUCCCUGUGCUGACAAGACAGGAGUGGCUUAAUGCCAGGCACCAGUGUCACCAUGCAACACUUCAUGGGAAGCCUAGACUCACUGUUACGGGAAGGAAGAGCCCAAGAACCUUUGUAAUGAUGAACAACAGCUUAUGGCCUGGUCAGCAGCUGACCCAGAUGCUCAGAAGGGGAGCAGGCAAGAACUCAAGAUGCCAGCUUGCUCUGCCUACCUCCGAGAGACUGCAGUUCCCUCUCCCCAAGGGCUGCCCAUAUUUUGAAAGAUGAUAUCCCACCAUGUUCAAUAAAGGAUGAUGAACUUAUCUUUUCAUCCCAGAGGGAGAAAAUGGAAUGUUUUCUUUGGUUUGUGCUGCCCAAUGGAAGAUAAACAUAUGAUUUCCAACUGACUGUCUGAAAUAUUGAGAUCAUUACCACUAAUACUAUUACUGCCUUUGGGAGCCCAAGUAGAAAUAAUCAGUCUUACUCUUCUCUGUCAUUUUAUACAUUUUGAAACUGUCCACAAGAAGGAAGUCCAUUAGUGGCAGAACCAGGACCAGGGAGGAGAACAGAUCCUGUCAGAGCACCCACUGUGUGACUUACACUCUGUGAGGAGCCUCCCGUCCCGUGGGGGAGGUGGGUGUCAACCCAUGAGUUCAUGAUCCAGUACCAGAAAUAAAAUGGGCACACACCAGGGCUCAGGAGUGUGGAAGAGGGAGAGGUUAGAUCUCAGAGACCGUAUUAGUCCAUUUUCAUGCUGUUGAUAAAGACAUUCCUGAGAUUGGGCAUGUCUUUAAAAAACAAAGAGGUUGAGUUGGACUUACAGUUCCACGUGGCUGGGGAGGCCCCACAAUCAUAGUGGGAGGCAAGGAAGGGCAAGUCAUGUCUUAACGUGGAUGGC